AGUGAACGCUGGCGGUAGGCCUAACACAUGCAAGUCGAACGGCAGCACAGCGGAGCUUGCUCCUUGGGUGGCGAGUGGCGGACGGGUGAGGAGUACAUCGGUAUCUACUCUGUAGUGGGGGAUAACGUAGGGAAUCUUACGCUAAUACCGCAUAGGACCUACGGGUGAAAGCAGGGGAUCUUCGGACCUUGCGCGAGUGAAUGCGACGAUGUCGGAUUAGCUAGUUGGCGGGGUAAAGGCUCACCAAGGCGACGAUCCGUAGCUGGUCUGAGAGGAUGAUCAGCCACACUGGAACUGAGACACGGUCCAGACUCCUACGGGAGGCAGCAGUGGGGAAUAUUGGACAAUGGGCGCAAGCCUGAUCCAGCCAUACCGCGUGGGUGAAGAAGGCCUUCGGGUUGUAAAGCCCUUUUGUUGGGAAAGAAAUCCAUCUGGUUAAUACCCGGGUGGGAUGACGGUACCCAAAGAAUAAGCACCGGCUAACUUCGUGCCAGCCGCCGCGGUAA
RNAcentral lists this ribosomal RNA (506 nucleotides) under uncultured bacterium. Its description in RNAcentral is "partial 16S ribosomal RNA". It matches the Rfam family "Bacterial small subunit ribosomal RNA", at positions 29 to 523 of the family's 1533-position model. The record is from RNAcentral.